GUAAGCGCACGCAGGCGGUCUGUCAAGUCGGAUGUGAAAUCCCCGGGCUCAACCUGGGAACUGCAUUCGAAACUGGCAGGCUGGAGUCUUGUAGAGGGGGGUAGAAUUCCAGGUGUAGCGGUGAAAUGCGUAGAGAUCUGGAGGAAUACCGGUGGCGAAGGCGGCCCCCUGGACAAAGACUGACGCUCAGGUGCGAAAGCGUGGGGAGCAAACAGGAUUAGAUACCCUGGUAGUCCACGCUGUAAACGAUGUCGACUUGGAGGUUGUUCCCUUGAGGAGUGGCUUCCGGAGCUAACGCGUUAAGUCGACCGCCUGGGGAGUACGGCCGCAAGGUUAAAACUCAAAGGAAUUGACGGA
This 357-nucleotide ribosomal RNA is filed under the name uncultured bacterium. RNAcentral's name for it is "bacterial SSU rRNA". It matches the Rfam family "Bacterial small subunit ribosomal RNA", at positions 561 to 917 of the family's 1533-position model. The record is from RNAcentral.